AAAAUCGGUUAAAACACCAUGAGCGUGCGUGUGAUCGUGUGACCUCUCCUCUACGUUCCUUUCUUGUAACAUACAUUUAACGAAUGCGGGCUUUCCAGUUAUAAUCCCAACCAAGCAACCUACAACCGUUUUUGAAACACAACAGCCGCCACUACAGAAUGUUGCAGCCGCCCUUUUUGAUAUUGUGUUCCUCAAAGACGAACGUAUUGAUGAGCUCCUGCAUGUUUGCAAUGACGGUUAAAGGUCUGUAGCGGUCUCGUGUUGAGGGGGACACACGUUGAGACCGACCGCUCGUUGAUGCGCUUUGUCGUUCAGACGUUUAUAACCGGCACUGCCUUCUGCAGCUUUGCAAGGAGGAACAGGGAAGUCCUGGCUUGUUCUUUCACGCGCGUCGUGCGUAAUUGCGCACCGGCUCGCUCAUCCACUGCAGUUGAACGCUGUGAAUUUUAGGAAUAUCUGCUGUUGGAGCCUGAUAACGAGCUUUCAUUUGAAUCAGGUGUGCUGGAGCAGGGACACAUCUAGAACGUGCAGGACAGUGGACCCUGAUGACCAGGAUUGAACACCCUUGACCUACAGCUUUCUAACCAAUUUGAGAAGAUUGAGAAGGCUGUGUCGUCAGGGCAUUUUUUGUUGAGUCAUAAGGGGAUGGAUGUACUUAAAGACACAAAGGAGAACAUUUUUCAUGAAGCAUAAUUCAGACUGAGAAGGUAUGCCGGAUACAGUAGGCCUAUUGCACAAUAUCACAAACAAUCCAUAGUCCAUUGAGUUCACAAGUCAGAUUCCUCCUUAGUCUGUGAAAUCACAUGCUACCUCUUCUGAAAAUCUAUUCACAUCACCCAUUUAUCAACGUAUUCAGUUCAACCCUGUUUCUAGAGAGCUACCUUCAUGUAGGUCAUCAGUCCAACCCCAGUUGUAACUAACCAGAUUCAUCAAGCAUCAACCAGCUAAUCAUUACAAUCAGGUGUGCUAGAUUAGAGUUAGAGCAUUAACCUACAGGAAGGUAGCUCUGCAGGAGCAGGGACCCACUUUUCCAGAGAGUAUUCAUAGGUGAUAAUUACUGUUCAUACAAUCAUAAUAAAUCAUUGUCAUUGGUCAUUUGAUUGCUUCGGUCUGAACCUCUGCGAGGAAAAAAGGCCUAGCCAGAGCCCAGGGGAUCAUGGGGGAAGUGUUUGAGCCGCCAUCCAGCCAGACAGCCAGACUGGGAGCAGGUUCGUCUGGUCUGUGACACUCUCCACACGCACUGCCCAGCUGUGUGCUGCUGCCCUGGUAACGCUCGCCAACCGUAUCCGUGUCAACCGAGGACUGGACCACUUGAAGAUAAUCUUGGGGGUGAAUGGAGCAGUUUAUAAACUGAAGCAUAUCCCACGCAAGGGUGGAGUUAUGAGGACUGUUUUGUCUUUGAUGUCCAUCGGAGAGGGGUUUCUUCAAUAAGAAACGCAAGGACACCGUUUGCAUCAUGGCUCCCCAGUGUGACGUCACCUUCCUGGUCUCCAAGGACAGCAGCGGGAAGGGCGCCGCCAUGGUAACGGCCGUGGCCCGAAGCCUGCCCCUCCAGUCCCACCUGCUGGAAGAGAGCAGUGAAGAGGAGGAGGAGGAGGGUGAGGAGGAGGGUAAGGAGGAAGAGGAGAAUGAAGAAAGCUGUCUUAGUGAUAGGAGAGGAGCAAACGUAUAAAGAUUCUAGACUGUACUUGAAAUGAUAUAUGUUGUGUUAAAGAGAGCCCAUGGUUGACACACCAUAACAACACCACAUAAGCAACUAAACAGUCACACCCACUUGGGUUUACAAAAGGAUAUGAAAGAUAUUAUGCUGUUUUGUUAUAUAAAUAUUUUUUCCCCCCCUGGACUCACUUCUUGCAAUGGUGUUUUGUCAUGAUCUGCUUUGUUAAAUGUAAUUUCAUUGUUUUGUCAGUUGAAAAAUGCAAACGUGGCUGAAACAUUGGCUCACAUAUCGCGGCAUUUCACAGGUAGACACAUGCUCCUUGUCUGAAAAUUAUAUUUCAUCUGGGUAAUAAUGUAUCUAGCGUCAUACCCUAUUAAUAUGCAUUAGACCAGCCAAGCAAAAAAAAAGUGUUACGCAGUCAACCAAAACACGUGGUAACUCCCCUAGUGGGCAACAAGCGUAUACAUAAAAUGUCGGGGUUUAAAUCAAAAUCGUAAAAGACAUAAAUACAUGUCGAAUGGUCACGAGGCUAUAUGCCUUCCCAUGUAACUGAGAAAAAGUGUUGCCAGUGACUACAGGGGUGCUGAAAUGUUACAAUGAAACGUUUUAUUUUUGCGUUGAAAUAUCUGAUAUAUUUUUAACAGUCAGUUACAACUUCAGCUACAUAAGUGUACAAAUGUAAGUCUGCGUGCUGUGUUUAUUUUUUCUUCCUGUAAGUUCCUUUCUCGUUUCUACAUUGCUCAAUAAAGAAUAUGC
This is a long non-coding RNA of Osmerus eperlanus (European smelt), 2416 nucleotides long. RefSeq lists it as uncharacterized. The transcript is spliced from 3 exons. The record is from RefSeq and is a predicted model, not a curated record. NCBI's taxonomy places the organism in Eukaryota, Metazoa, Chordata, Actinopteri, Osmeriformes, Osmeridae.